Molecule: ribosomal RNA, 855 nt
Filed under: uncultured bacterium
Lineage: Bacteria
Description: bacterial SSU rRNA
Rfam family: Bacterial small subunit ribosomal RNA
Source: RNAcentral
UACAGAGGGUGCGAGCGUUGUCCGGAAUGACUGGGCGUAAAGGGCAGGUAGGCUGCCUAGUAAGUUAGUAGUGAAAUCCAUGGGCUUAACCUGUGGGCUGCUGCUAAUACUGCUAGGCUAGAGAAAAAAAGAGGAAAAUGGAAUUUCUAGUGGAGAGGUAAAAUUCGUUGAUAUUAGAAGGAACACCAGAGGCGAAGGCGAUUUUCUAUUUUUUUCUGACGCUGAGCUGCGAAAGCUUGGGGAGCAAACAGGAUUAGAUACCCUGGUAGUCCAAGCCGUAAACGAUGAGUGCUGGAUAUUGAAACAUUUUUUCAGUGUCGAAGCUAACGCGUUAAGCACUCCGCCUGGGUAGUAUACCCGCAAGGGUGAAACUCAAAAGAAUAGACGGGGGCUCGCACAAGCGGUGGAGCAUGUGGUUUAAUUCGAAGGUACGCGCAAAACCUUACCAAAUUUUGACAUUAUUCUCUAAAUUCAACAAAAGUUGAGCUCGGUUCGGCCGGGGGAGUAACAGGUGGUGCAUGGCCGUUGUCAGUUCGUGCUGUGAAGUGUUAGGUUAAGUCCUGUAACGAACGCAACCCUUGUGCUUAUUUGCUAACAGGUAAUGCUGAGGACUAUAAGCAGACUGCCAGUGACAAACUGGAGGAAGGAGAGGAUGACUCCAGGUCCACAUGCCCUUUAUGAUUUGGGCUACACAUGUGCUACAAUGGCAACUACAACGAGUCGCAACUGGGCGACCAGAGGCUAAUCUCUAAAAGGUUGUCUUAGUCCGGAUCCAUCUCUGCAACUCGAGAUGGUGAAGCUGAAAUCGCUAGUAAUCGUGGAUCAGAACGCCACGGUGAAUAAGUUCUCGAGCCU